Triticum aestivum (bread wheat) is the source of this 2468-nucleotide RNA transcript. RefSeq lists it as uncharacterized. Lineage: Eukaryota; Viridiplantae; Streptophyta; Magnoliopsida; Poales; Poaceae. The transcript is spliced from 13 exons. The record is from RefSeq and is a predicted model, not a curated record.
GACAAGCGCCAAGCGGCAAGCUCCCAGCUCAAAGCUCGCCCCUCAAACCCAAGGACCCAAACCCCACCAUCCCCAUCACCGCAUCCGCCCCGCGCCCCCGCCCCGGCUAGCCCACCGCCGCAGCGCCGCCCAGAAGCGCGUGAUGGCGGCGCACACGCACAAGCGGCCGCUCGGCGCCGUCGCGCCGGAACAGGAGGCGGCGUGCUUCCCGAGGAAGCGGCCGCUCGGCGCCGCCGCGCCGGAGCAGGAGCAGGAGGCGCCCUGUUCCCCGAGCAAGCGGCUGCGCCGGGCGGGGCUCAUCGUCAUGUGGCUGGAGAAGGGCAAGGCGAGGGUGGUCACCAUCGGGCAGAUGGCACAGAUGCUUCGCCAGUCGCAACUCGACGUGGCAAACUCGGUCAUGGAGAGGCUCCCCAACAUACUCGAGAGAGUUUUGGGGGAGCAUUUUGGUGUUUUCAAGAGUUCUAUUAUGGGAUGCAUAGACGAUAAGGUUCAGUUAAUUGUACAGACAAAGAUGCAGGAACAACAAGCUGCUUCGCUUCCUAGUGGAGUUUCUGAGCCUCCUAGGCAUGUAUCGGAAGGCUUUCCUAAAACUGGAAGCGUCACUGGAGUUGUCAAGCUAUGCUUUGAUGUUGCAGGACCAAAAGAUACACUUUUCACGCGUUGUCCUGUAUGGAAGAAUGGAGCAAAUGCUAAAGUAGCAAUACUUCAAAAUGAGACACAAAUCACGCAGGGUGAUCUUUCUAAAUUGCAAAUUGAGAUUUUACCUGUUCAUGCUGAUUUCUUUACUGGACAAGAGGAUUUCACCAAAGAUGAAUUCAACAAGCAAAUAUAUAUGUAUAAAGGGAAAGAGUUGGUCUUGGCAACUGUUAGUCUAUCAAACGGCGAGUCCUCUCUUGGUUCAUUCUCCUUUCCAGAGAGCUCCCACGGGAAAAAGUUAAGAUUAACAGCUCGAGUGAAAAGGCAGGAUCUUACUGUCAGAGUUCAGGAAGCAAUCACUGAUCCUUUUGUCGUCAAAGACCGUCGAAGUGAAUCAAAUGAGAAGAGUCCUAUUCCAUCCAAGGAAGACGAUAUACAUCAACUGAAGAAAAUUUGCUUAAAGGGAAAACAUCGGAAUAACCUUGUGGAGAAAAAUAUUACGAAAGUGAAGCACUUGUUGCGCCAUUAUCACAAUGAUAAAUUUGGUCUCCAAAAGCUUGCUGGCAUGAAGAAGGGGGAUUGGAAUACCAUGAUUGAACAUGCUACCAUGUGUGUUCCUGGGGAUGAGAUCUAUUCCUAUUUGGUUCCAGAGGAUAAUUGUCAAAUCUUAUUCAAUGAUUUCUAUGAUCUUGUCGGUAAGAUAACUGAUAACUAUGUUCCUUACAGUGUCGACGACGUCGAUCAGUUUCCACAGCUUAAAGUGAAGAACUGGAAAAUGUCUGCAUACAAGAAAUUUGAGGAGCUGGAGAACUCAGGGGGUCUUAUCCCUGAUUAUUUCCUGAGUAACGGCCGCCUUAUCCCGGCAGCGCCUCCGAACAACGGUGCCAGUACUUCCAAAAAUCAAACAACUGCAGAAUUUGGUGAGCAACAACCAUUUCUGCAGGAGAGUGGAUUCCCGCUGGCACAGAUCUUUGCAAACAAUGUUGCUGGCCCUUUGAAUCAAGAAAGACCACCAUUUGCACAGUACAGUUACGAACAGGUUACGCAUCAAGAACCAUAUCAGCAGGAUCCUUUUAUGGGGUGUAAUGGAAUUCCUUCCUAUCUGACCCAAGGAAACAUUGAUGGUAUGGGAUCAUUUCCAGCAUGGUCAAUCAGCCCAUCCCACAAUUCUGCACCAGCUCAAGAGAAUGAUUCAAUAACUGGUGCAAAUCUAACUGCCCAACGUAAUGCAUACUUGACAACUGCCACUCCUGGUGGAGUUAGUCAGGGAACCUCUUCACUUAUCCAUGAUCAAGCUGGCAUCAGUGGAUUAUAUCCAAUUGAAGUAUGUGCUUUUCUUUUUAAGGAGUUGGAUAAAUCAUGGGAAUUAUGCUUUACAACAGAGCAAUUAUCUUUGCUCAGGCCAAUGAAUGGCUAGGAGUAGAAGAAGCACAUGUGGCAGAUCAGAACUAUAUACCAGCUGACAACGCAGACCUGCCGAAUUCUAACAACCAAUCUAAUGGUUAAGAAUAUGAUGGUGGCAUCUGGUGAUUGAACUUGAGACCACAGCAACAGGCUUUCCUCUACCAGAGUAAACAUGAUGGUGGCAGCCGGUGAUUCAAGUAUUCUGUGUGAUUAAGCAUUUAGUUUGUAAAUAUCGAUAGUGUUGCGAGUAGUACGUCAGUAUAUUGCUGAAUUUGCUAUUGGUUGCAGUAGGCAUUUGGGCUGUAUUAUUAAAGAACAAUCUUUUAGAAAAAAGAGGGCACUUCGCUCUUCUUGAAUACCGAGGAGCAACUAUUCGCAUUGCUGAACUUGGUGUAAUCAUGUUAAUCAAUCUUUUUUGCUGAGGUGAA